Molecule: long non-coding RNA, 1584 nt
Organism: Heterocephalus glaber (naked mole-rat)
Lineage: Eukaryota; Metazoa; Chordata; Mammalia; Rodentia; Bathyergidae
Source: Ensembl
CUUCCCUGCCACUUUUACCCUGAAGCUUACAGUCCUGGUGAGACCAAGCCUUUUCUUAGGGUCUGUGGCAAAGAUACCUUGGUAUACAGUUGCCCUGGAAUUUGUUCAGACUUGGGAUGAGACUGAUUCUGAGAAGCACCGACAAGUUCCUUACGUUCCUGGGGGUAACGGAGUCUUCUCAAUUACUCUCUUCACCUGAGGCCCAACCUUACACCACCCAUCCUUCCCUUACUUACCAGCAGGGUCUUCAGCACUGAGCCAAAGACUUUCUGGAAAAUGCACUAAAGUCAGCCCGCAGAAGGGUUAGUCUUUGGCUCUGUCUCCAGCAAUUCUGAACCACUUUGGAAGAUGCAAGCUCAGGAAGGACGGUGAGAACAUUAGAUGGCAAAAUGAGGAGUCAAAACAGGUUAGUGAGGGAUAAGGCAAGUCAGAUAAGUGUGAAUAGUGAUAAAUGCUAAGUUUUGCAUGUUGGUCCAAAAAAACGAAUCGGCCAAGAACAGAAUGAAAUGUAGCAGAUGUUUUAGGAAGAGGGAGUUAGCGUAUGUGUCCUGAGGCCUCAUGGACUUAGCUUCUCAGUUUUCAAAGUUCAACAGGGGUAUUUACUUUUAUUUUAUUUUAUUUUUGCAGCCCUGGAAUUGAACUCAGGCUUUUGUUUUUUGAAACAGGGUCUUGCUAACUCACUAAGUUGCCCAGGCUAGGCUAAAACUUGUGAGACUCUUGCCUAAAUCUCCCAGUGUGCUGGAAUUAUAGGCAGACAGUGCUGUGUUCUGCUUGGGCAGAACCUUAUUUAUUUUAAUGCCGGAGAUUUAGCUCAGUAGUUUUGCUGCCUGCUGUGCAAGUGCAAGGACCUGAGUUUGAUCCCCAAUAACAAAAAAAAAACAUUUAUUGUGAAGACCGGAUCUAGAUGCUCACAGAAGUGGGUGCACAUUGUCUCGUAUUCAUUCAUCCAUCCAUGUGUUCAGCUGCAUCUAUGGAAUCCCUACUUUGUUCCAGUCUGGUAAACAGAGAUUUAAAACACAACUUACACUGCUGUAUUAGAGUGAGAGCACUAUUCUACCCAAUCGGAGUAGGGGAAAGGUAGAGGAUGGUGAAGUUCAGAGAAUUUGUUUUUGUUGUUGUUAUUUUUUUUUUUAGAAUUGGUGAGACAUGAAGCCUGAGUUGGAAAUAUAAAGAGCAGUAGGAGCUUGUGUUACUGGGAAAACUGAAGGAUAAAGGACAGGUGAGAUGUUUCAGGACAAGAAAACAAUGUGUAUAUAGCAUGGGUUUCAGAGUGUAAUCUGCAAGGUUAAAAUAUUUUCAGGUCUUUUCAUAAUAUUGUUAGACAUUUUCUGCGUGUGUGUGUGUGUGUGUGUGUGUAUUUGAGCGCUGGGAACGAACACAGGGCCUCAGCUCUACUAGGGAAGCACUCUACCAUUGAGCUACAUUCCCAGCUCCAUUUAUUGUCCUCUAUUACUCUCAUCCUUUCACAAGUUUACGGUAGAGGUUUCCAGAGGCUCCUUCAUGACAUGUGCCGUCAUACCAAGUUGAACACAGAAGCCAGUGUGAGAAUCUAACUGUUUUCUAUUACACCAGACAAUAAAGAGC